CAAGUCGAGUGCGCGGUUGUAGCAAUACAACUGGCGCACGGCGCACGGGUGCGUAACACGUGGGUAACCUGCCCUUUGGUGGGGAAUAACUCCGCGAAAGCGGAGCUAAUUCCGCAUAAGAUCCGCAAGGAUGAAAGCCGCAAGGCGCCGAAGGAGGGGCCCGCGCCCGAUUAGCUAGUUGGUAGGGUAACGGCCUACCAAGGCUUUGAUCGGUAGCUGGUCUGAGAGGAUGAUCAGCCACACUGGAACUGAGACACGGUCCAGACUCCUACGGGAGGCAGCAGUGGGGAAUCUUGCACAAUGGGCGAAAGCCUGAUGCAGCGACGCCGCGUGGGGGAUGAAGCAUUUCGGUGUGUAAACCCCUUUCGAUCCGGACGAAACCCCGCAAGGGAUUGACGGUACGGAUAUAAGAAGCCCCGGCUAACUACGUGCCAGCAGCCGCGGUAAGACGUAGGGGGCCAGCGUUGUUCGGAAUUACUGGGUGUAAAGGGUUCGUAGGCGGUGCGGCAAGUUGGGAGUGAAAUCUCUGGGCUUAACCCAGAGGCUGCUUCCAAAACUGCUGUGCUUGAGUGUGGGAGAGGCGCGUGGAAUUGCAGGUGUAGCGGUGAAAUGCGUAGAUAUCUGCAGGAACACCCGUGGCGAAAGCGGCGCGCUGGACCACUACUGACGCUGAGGAACGAAAGCUAGGGGAGCAAACAGGAUUAGAUACCCUGGUAGUCCUAGCCCUAAACGAUCAGGACUUGGGGUGCCACCCGUUCGGGUGUCGUCCCGGAGCUAACGCGUUAAGUCCUGCACCUGGG
RNAcentral lists this ribosomal RNA (800 nucleotides) under uncultured Pseudomonadota bacterium. RNAcentral describes it as "bacterial SSU rRNA". It matches the Rfam family "Bacterial small subunit ribosomal RNA", at positions 58 to 877 of the family's 1533-position model. The record is from RNAcentral. Lineage: Bacteria; Pseudomonadati; Pseudomonadota.